This 570-nucleotide ribosomal RNA is filed under the name uncultured bacterium. RNAcentral's name for it is "partial 16S ribosomal RNA". It matches the Rfam family "Bacterial small subunit ribosomal RNA", at positions 355 to 919 of the family's 1533-position model. The record is from RNAcentral.
UGGGGAAUUUUGGACAAUGGGCGAAAGCCUGAUCCAGCAAUGCCGCGUGUGUGAAGAAGGCCUUCGGGUUGUAAAGCACUUUUGUCCGGAAAGAAAUCCUUGGCUCUAAUACAGUCGGGGGAUGACGGUACCGGAAGAAUAAGCACCGGCUAACUACGUGCCAGCAGCCGCGGUAAUACGUAGGGUGCAAGCGUUAAUCGGAAUUACUGGGCGUAAAGCGUGCGCAGGCGGUUUGCUAAGACCGAUGUGAAAUCCCCGGGCUCAACCUGGGAACUGCAUUGGUGACUGGCAGGCUAGAGUAUGGCAGAGGGGGGUAGAAUUCCACGUGUAGCAGUGAAAUGCGUAGAGAUGUGGAGGAAUACCGAUGGCGAAGGCAGCCCCCUGGGCCAAUACUGACGCUCAUGCACGAAAGCGUGGGGAGCAAACAGGAUUAGAUACCCUGGUAGUCCACGCCCUAAACGAUGUCAACUAGUUGUGGGGAUUCAUUUCCUAGUAACGUAGCUAACGCGUGAAGUUGACCGCCUGGGGGAGUACGGUCGCAAGAUUAAAACUCAAAUGAAUUGACGGGGU